RNAcentral lists this ribosomal RNA (244 nucleotides) under uncultured Spirosoma sp. RNAcentral's name for it is "partial 16S ribosomal RNA". It matches the Rfam family "Bacterial small subunit ribosomal RNA", at positions 101 to 344 of the family's 1533-position model. The record is from RNAcentral. Lineage: Bacteria; Pseudomonadati; Bacteroidota; Cytophagia; Cytophagales; Cytophagaceae.
AAACGGGUGCGUAACGCGUAAGCAACCUGCCUCAUACUGGGGGAUAGCCCGGCGAAAGCUGGGGUAAACCCGCACGGUCCAGUUUUAUCACCUGGUAAGAUUGGUAAACAUUUAUGGGUAUGAGAGGGGCUUGCGUCUGAUUAGUUAGUUGGCAGGGUAACGGCCUACCAAGACGAUGAUCAGUAGGGGUUCUGAGAGGAUUGGCCCCCACAUGGGUACUGAGAUACGGACCCAACUCCUACGG